This is a long non-coding RNA of Mauremys mutica (yellowpond turtle), 410 nucleotides long. RefSeq lists it as uncharacterized. NCBI's taxonomy places the organism in Eukaryota, Metazoa, Chordata, Testudines, Geoemydidae. The transcript is spliced from 3 exons. The record is from RefSeq and is a predicted model, not a curated record.
GUGGGCUGCCCCCUUCUCUUCUCCUACUGGGACAGGCUGUUCCGGUAGCGAUCACGUGCCUGGGGGUUGUUUUGGUGUCUUGUUUUAUAAUGAGGGAGAUCAGAGUAGGUUUUAUUUUAUUUUGUCAAAUAUUGAGCUGAAAAAUUGCUGAAACUUUAUUUUACCUGGUGGCCAUUUUUCUCUGAGUUCGAUUCAGAUUCAGGUUCACUGAGGAAGAGGAAAAAUGAUGGUUUAAGUCUGGUUCCAGUUCAGUUAAGCAGAUCAGUUCAACCUGGUUCUCUGGUUCUGUUCUGGUGUGAGUCCAGGCUGAGGAAUCACGUCUGCGUUUUGAUCCAGAUCGUCCUGUCUUCCAGGGGACAGAGAAGGGAAAUGGCUGUGAUGGAGCCAGCUCAGAUGCCGGUGACCUUCGA